Lontra canadensis (Northern American river otter) is the source of this 327-nucleotide long non-coding RNA. RefSeq lists it as uncharacterized. NCBI's taxonomy places the organism in Eukaryota, Metazoa, Chordata, Mammalia, Carnivora, Mustelidae. The transcript is spliced from 3 exons. The record is from RefSeq and is a predicted model, not a curated record.
GGUGUCCCUGCGGGAAGGGGACGGCGAUCCCCUGGCUAGCCUGUACGAUGGCCUUGACGUGGACAGCACAGCGGGAGAGGCCCCAUUUUUCACCAAGGUGGUGGCCCUGCUGGGAAGGGAGAGUGGUAAGUAUGCUGUCCUCUAGAGUCACUCAUUGGCUUGGAGCAACCUGGACAAUGGGCAAGGUGGGGCUUCCUUGCAGGCUCCAUCUUGAGAGCCACCCAGAAUCCAGAACCUGUUGCAACGAGACUAAGGGUCACGCUCCGGACCGAGACCCGAGGCCUCGUGACCCUGGCCCCGGAAGCUACCGUGCUGCUCUUAGGUGCU